GACAGGGAAAAAAAAAAGGUUUGUUAAAAAAACCAUAGCUGAAAAUUGACUCAGGAGAGAACGCUGAAUAUGAUUUGAAAAUUGAGGAAACACAUCUGACAGGACUUCAUGUAGUUAGCUGGUACGCUGAGAUAAGAUAAAGCCCGAGUAAAUGCUCUAUUGUUGUGGUAACAGUACGCAUGUGGCAUGAGCUGCCUUUUUUGUUUUCUUUUUCUUUUUUUAAUCGUCAGACAAAAAUCGACUGAAAGAACAGUGCUUUUAAUAACUCUACUGUUGCCUCAUAGAUUAUCGUAUGCGACUAUUAACGGCACAGUUUCAUAAUAGACAGUUUUCCACUGUCUCAGAGAUGACACUACUGGUUACGUCAUCACAGGGCACAGAACACAUCAUGGAGCAGCUUACCACGGAGUGUAGUAAGGAAUAUGAUAAUUCAGAUGUCACAACCUGCACAAAGCCAAAUUGACUUCCAUCUAAACGUAUAGAAGUUCAGACUAUAGGGCUGUCCUUCCAAGUAAUUGGCUCAAACCAUCCUGAGGUUGCCGUGUGCCUAAUAAACAGUGAUUCUGAGAGCUAGAACACUUUAAUAAUAACCUUCACUCAAUCAGGUUACAUUUGCAGCAGAUGCACUUAUCCAGAGCAAAGUGUUUUGCUGUCUCCAUUAAAAACACAUUCUCAAGCUGGUAGUAAUGGGUCCGGAUCUAAGAAUACUGUCCGCUAAAGAAAAGUUAAGGCUUCUGCAUACUUCAUGCAGAGAUGAUGUUUGAAACUUCCAUGAAAAAUAGGACGUAAUUGCGGAGUAAACAGACGUCACAUGGAGGCCUCACUGGCUGUGUCAUGGUCGUGGCAGCUGGGCAAACUUCACGACGCAGGCCUAUGAUUGGUUAUGGCAAAUGACGCAAUCCCCAGCCUGUGAUUGGUCACGACAAACGAAGCGUGCCCAAGCUGAUUCAUUCCAAGAUGGAUGAUUUGAAGAUUGGCUGCCAUAACAGGUAUGUAGAUAACUCUUCAUCAAGGUAUUACACACAAAUUAGUAUAGUAUAGUAUAGUUUAUGCUGUCAUCACUUUGCAGCAGACAGUCUUCUACCUCUAGCCAGCAAAUUGUCAUAAAUUAUUUACAGUGCCACCUGCAGCACAGGAGCACAUACUGCAAACUGCAAAGAAUGUGGGUUUAUAAACUGACGGAGGUGGUUUUGUUUUAGCAUAACCCUCUUCGAUGUCUCUGCCUUAAGUAGGCAAAGUCAUUUAGUACAAUGAGAAACAAAAACAAAACAAGGGUCAAAGGGUUUUUUUAAAAAGUUAUUUAUUAGUGCUCAUUUAAGAGGUUGGUAAAAAGGUAGGUGUUCAGGACAGAAAAUACUAUUGCAAGUCUUAUCAUCUUAGGAGAUGGUGGGUCCAGUCAAGCUGAGCUAGCAGCUCAAAGGGAACAUGGUGCAGAGUGCUUUAAGGUAGCCUGGUCCUGGUUCAUAUUUGACUCUGUAAGCAAACGUGUCUGUUUGUUUGUUUUUUAAUCUGGUACAUGCAGCUACAUGGAGCAGGUGGAGGGAAUCCAGCAAUGGAAUGAUGGGAGAGAACAUGAGGAGACUGAAAAGAAGUGGAGCAGUUGCAGGGAUCAGGUGGCAUGCAGGAUUAGGGUCACGGGAGAGUCUGGAGUAUUCCAGGGAACUUGCAGAACAAGGCGGAGGAUGCCCUGGACGGGGUGCCAAAACAUCACAGGGUACAGUCUCACAUACACACCCCGGACAGUCUGGAAAGAAUCACUGGGAAGGAAACCCCAGAAGCACGGGGAGAACAUGCAAGCUCCGCACACACCAGGCAGAGGCAGAAUUCGAACCCCCAACCCCAGAGGGUUCUCCUGUGGAUUUCCAGUUGAAUCGACCUUCCUUGCGUAACCUCUCCUUUUCAGCGGCUGCCAGAAAACGCAGGUAAAAAACACAAACACAAACGUUAGGAAGUCCACUACAAUAGAGGCCUUAUGUUGGAAAGUUGUGCUCGUUGCAGUACACGCACAAGUGCGUAAUUAGGAACACACUCUCGCACAGAGCAUGUUUGUGCACAAGUGGGAGGAGGCUCGGGGAUCAACCAGGCUUUUUUACCAGCUCCAGGGAGUUGUUGGAUUUCCUCCUUAUAUUCGCCUGCCACUGAUUGUGAUCCAAGGACAAAAGUCUUUGUGUCAAAUGGACAGAAUAAAGCAGCGCUUUUCUUUUCUUUUUUUUCUUUUUUUUUUUUGCAGCAUGGGGUUGGUUUCCUUUUAUCCUCUUAAAAAUGUGUUUAACCAGAAAUUAAUUUGGAAAUAUGCCCAAAGAAGAAAAAACAAUCAAGCAUUGUCAGUGUAAUUAAAUUGAUGUGUGUCAUGAUGGUGCAUUUUUGGGUGGAUACCAAGAUGCAGUAGAAGCAGUGAUGGUAUUACAUGCUAAUAAAAGGAGAAAAUUCAUGUAGUCUUACUGCAGUAAACCUCCAGCUGUCAUCUUUCAGCUGUAAUUUUGGUAUAACUGGCAAGUAGCUUUUCAACAGAAAUGGGAGGGAAAAUGCACAAUUCUGAUUGGUUAAUCCUGUUUUUCGCCAUAGAAGCCAGCAGCCAAUCAAAUGUUAUUAAACAAACUAAGGGAUGCAUUCCUUUGACGUACGAGGUGGUUAAAUACAGAGAAAUCGUAAUGAUGCCUUUGUUUCCCUCUUAUGAACAUAAUUAUAGCUCAAUUUCUGUGCAAAUCAGUCUUAUUUGACACGCUGUAAGUGUAUGUUAAACAAGCGCUCAAAUAAACGUUUGGACCGGUGAUAAAAUAUUUCAAACCUGAAAUCCCCUUCUUAGCUACUUCUCUGGCUUAUAGCACUUUAUCAGUCACAUGACUUGAUUUGCUGUUGUUUUCCAGGUGUCACAGUCAUGUGAGGAACCACACAGACGCCAACACAAACAAACUCAUACAUCCAUGUUACCAUACCAGUUACUAUAAAUAAGUAUUAUAAGCAGUCACACCUACACCACAUUCCUAAUAAAACCACCCCCUCCCUUCCUACUAGCAGUGCUAAGUAUUCUGUAGAAACUCUCUGCCCAUCAUUCAUCCGUGCCUCUCACGUUCGCUCGUUACGUAUUCAGGCCUUUUAAGGGACCCUAAUCACUCCGAAUGCUUGUAAUCGUAAUCGCUGACGUCAACCACCAAUUUACACCCCUUUAUCUGUCACUAGUAAACAAUAGUCCAAACGGCCAUCCAAACAGCGUCAUGAUCCAAUUGGCACCGGUUGUGGGAGGACACAAAGCCUGAGAAAGAAAAGAGAGAAAAGAGUCGAGUGGGAGGGGGAUUACACGACCUCCCAGGUCAGACGAGACACUGAGGUGAAAGCCUUUCUACCAAAAACCCUUGAAUACUCUCAAAGCUCCAUGGCAAUGUGUUAUUCGUGAGCUCACAGAGGCCAAGGUUCAGCUGUGGCCUAGAGAUAGAGAAUAGCGCAGGAAUUUCGGGGUCACUCUUUUUUUUUUCUCUCGCACAUUCCAAUACGUUUUAUCCACAGCGAUUCAAUGAACAGUAGCUUUAAACAGCCAGAAGCGCUUACUCAAGGACACUAGAACAAGGUCCAGUUUGAACCCUGAACCAAAACAAUGCAAUCAACCUUUUCUCCUCAUCACACACACAGUGAAUUUGCGAACUAUGUCAGGUUCUGUCGUUGAUGUAAGUAGCACUGUACGUCAAUAAUGCGACAUCUCUGUGAGGGCUGGUCGUGAUAUUAAGCCAACAGAGAGAAAAAAAUUCGAACUACGUUGUAUCAGAAACUCAUUAAUAUUAUAACCUUCGAGCAUGGGGGUCUCAUCAUAGGGAUG
Ictalurus furcatus (blue catfish) is the source of this 3811-nucleotide long non-coding RNA. RefSeq lists it as uncharacterized. The transcript has 3 exons. The record is from RefSeq and is a predicted model, not a curated record. NCBI's taxonomy places the organism in Eukaryota, Metazoa, Chordata, Actinopteri, Siluriformes, Ictaluridae.